Molecule: non-coding RNA, 95 nt
Organism: Metarhizium robertsii ARSEF 23
Lineage: Eukaryota; Fungi; Ascomycota; Sordariomycetes; Hypocreales; Clavicipitaceae
Source: Rfam
GGCCGUGUAGCUCAAUGGCAGAGCGUCUGACUACGAUUAACAACAGUUAAUUCUCUGUAAUCAGAAGGUCGCAGGUUCGACCCCUGUCUCGGUCA